GCUAUCCCCUUUUGAGUUUUCCAGAACAUGUUGGUUUAUCUCUCUUCUAUGGAUUGCCCUUAACUUCUGUGUUGUUCUGGGCCAUAUAUAUGAACUGCUCAGUGGAAAAUCGAAAGGUUUCAAAUGAGAGGAUAAAAGAGUUUACAAAUAUUACAUCAGAAGCAGCUUGGGAAAUUAAAGACUGCAUUUCCAUAUAUAUCAACUGCUUAGUGGAAAAUCGAAUGAUUUCUGUUGACAGGAUAAAGGACUUUACAAUAUUGACCUUAGAGACUCCAGGGGACUCAUUAACUGCCAGUCUGUACUUGCUGUCAUCCUAACAAAAACAGCAGUUUCAGCCCAUUUUACUUAUUAUUGAAAAUAAACCAAUGACUUACUGCUUACUAUUCAAGGGGAGACAGAGCGCUAAAAAAAAGAAAGCAUUAUCACUAUUUCAAACUGUUUUCCAUCUUACCUGAUCUACUGUUUUUGAAUAGCGAUUAAAAUUGUAAGACUUUGAAAUCUGAAAGUGUAAUGUAUUUUUGUUGUUGUAACUUUAUGGUUGCUGGUAGGUGAAUUUUCAUUUAUAAAACAAUGAAUGUAAUUACUAUUAAAUUGACAGAAAUUGUUUGUAAUUCAUUUAGUAGAUCAUGUUUGGUUGGAGCACACCUCUUUUUCUUUGAGUUUCAUACUGUAGAAUACUUUCAAAGAUUGUAUGUGCAGCAGCCAAUGUGGCAUGACCACAAAACUGAAGCUGCAAAGGCGUAUCAAACAUUUGAUUGAUUUACAUAUACUUCUUUUAAUUUGCUAAAAAUUCUACUGCACCAAUAAAAUAUAUGAACCUGUAGGCCAAGAGCAUGUGCUCUGGCAACAAGAUCUGUAACUUUCAUUCAAAUAAUGGUUAUGCUACCUAAUUAAAUAAAAAAUUGCCUAACAUCCC
Long non-coding RNA from Quercus lobata, 916 nucleotides. RefSeq lists it as uncharacterized. The transcript is spliced from 3 exons. NCBI's taxonomy places the organism in Eukaryota, Viridiplantae, Streptophyta, Magnoliopsida, Fagales, Fagaceae. The record is from RefSeq and is a predicted model, not a curated record.